UGCAAGUCGAACGGUAGCAGGAAGUGCUUGCACUUCGCUGACGAGUGGCGGACGGGUGAGUAAUGCUUGGGAACUUGCCUUUAGGUGGGGGAUAACAGUUGGAAACGACUGCUAAUACCGCAUAAUGUCUACGGACCAAAGGGGGCUUCGGCUCUCGCCUUGAGAGAGGCCCAAGUGAGAUUAGCUAGUUGGUGGGGUAAAGGCCUACCAAGGCAACGAUCUCUAGCUGUUCUGAGAGGAAGAUCAGCCACACUGGGACUGAGACACGGCCCAGACUCCUACGGGAGGCAGCAGUGGGGAAUAUUGCACAAUGGGGGAAACCCUGAUGCAGCCAUGCCGCGUGUGUGAAGAAGGCCUUCGGGUUGUAAAGCACUUUCAGUUGUGAGGAAAAGUUAGUAGUUAAUACCUGCUAGCCGUGACGUUAACAACAGAAGAAGCACCGGCUAACUCCGUGCCAGCAGCCGCGGUAAUACGGAGGGUGCGAGCGUUAAUCGGAAUUACUGGGCGUAAAGCGCACGCAGGCGGUUUGUUAAGCUAGAUGUGAAAGCCCCGGGCUCAACCUGGGAUGGUCAUUUAGAACUGGCAGACUAGAGUCUUGGAGAGGGGAGUGGAAUUCCAGGUGUAGCGGUGAAAUGCGUAGAUAUCUGGAGGAACAUCAGUGGCGAAGGCGACUCCCUGGCCAAAGACUGACGCUCAUGUGCGAAAGUGUGGGUAGCGAACAGGAUUAGAUACCCUGGUAGUCCACACCGUAAACGCUGUCUACUAGCUGUGUGUGUCUUUAAGACGUGCGUAGCGAAGCUAACGCGCUAAGUAGACCGCCUGGGGAGUACGGCCGCAAGGUUAAAACUCAAAUGAAUUGACGGGGGCCCGCUCAAGCGGUGAAGCAUGGGUUUAAUUCGAUGCAACGCGAAGAACCUUACCUACCCUUGACAUGCUGAAAGUUAUAAAGAUAAGUUCGGG
RNAcentral lists this ribosomal RNA (960 nucleotides) under uncultured Gammaproteobacteria bacterium. RNAcentral's name for it is "bacterial SSU rRNA". It matches the Rfam family "Bacterial small subunit ribosomal RNA", at positions 56 to 1017 of the family's 1533-position model. The record is from RNAcentral. Lineage: Bacteria; Pseudomonadati; Pseudomonadota; Gammaproteobacteria.